RNAcentral lists this ribosomal RNA (497 nucleotides) under uncultured bacterium. RNAcentral's name for it is "partial 16S ribosomal RNA". It matches the Rfam family "Bacterial small subunit ribosomal RNA", at positions 28 to 507 of the family's 1533-position model. The record is from RNAcentral.
GAUGAACGCUGGCGGCGUGCCUAAUACAUGCAAGUCGAGCGAACGGACGAGAAGCUUGCUUCUCUGAUGUUAGCGGCGGACGGGUGAGUAACACGUGGAUAACCUACCUAUAAGACUGGGAUAACUUCGGGAAACCGGAGCUAAUACCGGAUAAUAUUUUGAACCGCAUGGUUCAAAAGUGAGAUACGGUCUUGCUGUCACUUAUAGAUGGAUCCGCGCUGCAUUAGCUAGUUGGUAAGGUAACGGCUUACCACGGCAACGAUGCAUAGCCGACCUGAGAGGGUGAUCGGCCACACUGGAACUGAGACACGGUCCAGACUCCUACGGGAGGCAGCAGUAGGGAAUCUUCCGCAAUGGGCGAAAGCCUGACGGAGCAACGCCGCGUGAGUGAUGAAGGUCUUCGGAUCGUAAAACUCUGUUAUUAGGGAAGAACAUAUGUGUAAGUAACUGUGCACAUCUUGACGGUACCUAAUCAGAAAGCCACGGCUAACUACGUG